Molecule: ribosomal RNA, 575 nt
Filed under: Fusarium acuminatum
Lineage: Eukaryota; Fungi; Ascomycota; Sordariomycetes; Hypocreales; Nectriaceae
Description: eukaryotic LSU rRNA
Rfam family: 5.8S ribosomal RNA (bases 190-343)
Source: RNAcentral
CGAAUUUCGUCUCGUUGGUGACAGCGGAGGGAUCAUUACCGAGUUUACAACUCCCAAACCCCUGUGAACAUACCUUAAUGUUGCCUCGGCGGAUCAGCCCGCGCCCCGUAAAACGGGACGGCCCGCCAGAGGACCCAAACUCUAAUGUUUCUUAUUGUAACUUCUGAGUAAAACAAACAAAUAAAUCAAAACUUUCAACAACGGAUCUCUUGGUUCUGGCAUCGAUGAAGAACGCAGCAAAAUGCGAUAAGUAAUGUGAAUUGCAGAAUUCAGUGAAUCAUCGAAUCUUUGAACGCACAUUGCGCCCGCUGGUAUUCCGGCGGGCAUGCCUGUUCGAGCGUCAUUUCAACCCUCAAGCCCCCGGGUUUGGUGUUGGGGAUCGGCUCUGCCUUCUGGCGGCGCCGCCCCCGAAAUACAUUGGCGGUCUCGCUGCAGCCUCCAUUGCGUAGUAGCUAACACCUCGCAACUGGAACGCGGCGCGGCCAUGCCGUAAAACCCCAACUUCUGAAUGUUGACCCUCGGAUCAGGUAGGAAUACCCGCUGAACUUAAGCAUAUCAAUAAGCGGGAGGACAAA